CCUACGGGGGGCAGCAGUGGGGAAUAUUGCACAAUGGGGGGAACCCUGAUGCAGCCAUGCCGCGUGAAUGAAGAAGGCCUUCGGGUUGUAAAGUUCUUUCGGUAGCGAGGAAGGCAUUUAGUUUAAUAGACUAGAUGAUUGACGUUAACUACAGAAGAAGCACCGGCUAACUCCGUGCCAGCAGCCGCGGUAAUACGGGGGGUGCGAGCGUUAAUCGGAAUAACUGGGCGUAAAGGGCACGCAGGCGGUGACUUAAGUGAGAUGUGAAAGCCCCGGGCUUAACCUGGGAAUUGCAUUUCAUACUGGGUCGCUAGAGUACUUUAGGGAGGGGUAGAAUUCCACGUGUAGCGGUGAAAUGCGUAGAGAUGUGGAGGAAUACCGAAGGCGAAGGCAGCCCCUUGGGAAUGUACUGACGCUCAUGUGCGAAAGCGUGGGGAGCAAACAGGAUUAGAUACCCGGGUAGUC
Molecule: ribosomal RNA, 465 nt
Filed under: uncultured Haemophilus sp.
Lineage: Bacteria; Pseudomonadati; Pseudomonadota; Gammaproteobacteria; Pasteurellales; Pasteurellaceae
Description: bacterial SSU rRNA
Rfam family: Bacterial small subunit ribosomal RNA
Source: RNAcentral